GAGGAGGAGAAGGAGGUUUGGGUCCCCAGUUCCAUGGAGGCUGGGCAUGGGGCCCUGGAAGGCUGCAGGUCUGCCUGUGCUUUGUCCUGUGCUCCCCAGCCCUCCUUUACCUCCAACCCGCCUCCCUGACCAGUGCCCAAGGGUGCUGCAUGUGCUUGAUCAUGGUUGUGUGAGGGAAGAAGAAAAAAGUCGGCCUGAGUAAUGGAUACAUUUGGAAAACAUGAGCACUGUACCAGCUGCGGACGUCUUCCCUCCAGGAAGGGCUAAGUUGAUGAAAAGAAAACCAAAGUCAGGACAACUAUAACAUUCAGAAGAAAAAUACUUGUGGAUGAAGAUACCAUCUCUGAGAACAUUCCACUUACUACAGGCUUGCUUUCUGGGGAAGCACAUCUAGUCUCCGAACACUCAGAGGAAAAGAUACUUGUGCCUGAAAACACUGUUUCUGAAAACAUGGCUGUUACUACACAAUUACUUUCUGGGGAAAUGCAUCGAGUGUCCAAGCACUCAGAGGAAAAGAUCCUUGUUGCAGGAGACACUGUCUCUGAGAACUUAACAGUUACUACAAAAUUACUUUCAGGGGAAUCACAUCUAAUCUUAAAACAUUCACUAGACAAGACAUUUGGGGUUGAAGACACUGUCUCUGAGAACAUUCCACUUACUAUAGGCUUGCUUUCUGGGGAAGUACAUCUAGUCUCUGAACACUGAGGAAAAAAUACUUGUGACAGGAGACACUGUCUCUGAGAACUUAACAGUUACUACAAAAUUACUUUCAGGGGAAAUACAUCUAUCUAAUCGUAAAACAUACACUAGACAAGACUUUUGGGGCUGGAGACACUGUCUCUGAGAACAUGCCGGUAACUAUAAAAUUGCUUUCUGCUGACACACAUCUAGUAUUAAAACAUUUUGUAGACAACACAUCCGGGGGCUGGAGACACUGUCUCUGAAAACAAAUCGGCGACCACAGGCUUACUCCCAAUGGAGUAUAGUCCUUCAAGACAAGACGCAAUCUUUAAUGAAAUCGAAGACUUUCAAACAUUCCUGAUGAAAAGACCCGAGCUGAAUAGAAAAUCACACACAAGACUCAAGAGGACCCAAAAAAGGUAAACAUGAAAUAGAAAUCAUGAUGGACUCAAGAAGGUUAACUUGUGUAGCCUUCUAUAAGGGAAAAUAAUUUAUGCAUUUUUCAGAAUUUCAUUAUUAUUAGGAAGUUAGAAUGGCUCUACAGAGCAGAAGGGUCUGGGAGGGAGUUGAUUAGGUUGAGAUGAUCAAAAUGGAUAGGUGAGAAAGAGGGAUGCAGUGGGAGAAGGGGAAAGAGAGUGAAAGAUUGGGGGUGGGGGGGAGAAUUGUCUUAAGUAAAAGAGAUGCCCCAGGAAGAACUUUUACAAUGGAAGGAAAAAUGGAGGGUGGGUUGGGCAACAUUUGAACCUCAGUCACAUGUAAAGUGUUUCAGAAAGGAAAAAUACAUAUACAUACUCAAUUGGCAAUACAAGUCUCUCUUACCAGCUAGGGAAGUAGGGGAGAGUAAAGGGGUAAGAGAAAGGGGAGUCAGAACUCGGGGGGCAGAUAAAAAUGGCAGAGUUCAGAAGCAAAACAUUGAUGGAGGGAAAGGAUAAAAAGCCAGAGAGAGAAAAGAAGUGAGAGAGAGAGUGUCUCCAAGAAAAGCAGAAGAGAGAAGCAGAGAGACCACCACCACCACCACCACCGUUGGAUCAGGACUUGGCUUGAGACCUCCAGUGCUGAGAGAGACUUGCCCAGCUCCACCCACCAGCAUGUCCAGCCCCAAGGGUCUCUCUUCCAUCCAGCUGUGCUCAGUUACUGCAUGCCUAUUGCUGACCUCCACAGGCGCCCACCUUCACCUCUCUGUAUCCAUCUCUGGCCCCACUUAUCUGUUCUUCCUGUCAGUUAUAUCCAGGCCCCCAAGUGACUGGUCCUGGCACUCAUGGGUUUCUGGAUUUCUCCAGAUCUUUUUUUCUCUGUCCCUCAUGUGUCCUUAAACCAUAUGCCAGCCCCCUCCCUUCAUGGCCACAGGAUCCCCUUCCUGGAUCCAACCCUUACUUCCUUCUUUACCUCAGGGAACCAAUUCACGUUAUGUAAGAAUGUAUUAUGCACUAUAUAAUUUUCCCCACCUUUCUGCUUUAUUUCUAAUUUUCUCUGCCUUGUGUUUUUUGUGCAAAACCUUUUAAACUUGAUGUAAGCAAUUCUUCAGUUUGCAUCUCAUUCUUCUCUAUCUCUUGUUUGGUCACAAAUUCUUCCCUUUUCCAAAAAUCUGCGUCAUCAGUUUGUUUUUGCUUUUUUAGUAUCUGGCCUCCUAUGAAAAAAAACCUGAUUAGACACAUACAAGAUAAACAAAGUAAUAGUUUAUUUGUCUGAAAAACAAUCAGCAUGAAUCAUGUGGAGACUUCUUCCGAAGAAGGAGUUUGAAGAUGCCUUUUUUGGGGCAGGUAUAUAUAAACGAGGUGGUAUCAGUUUCAUCAGUAUGAAACGAUUCAACUUAAAAGCAAAACUAUAAGAAGAAUGUAUAAAAUAGAAAUCAGUUUAACAAUUUGAUAGUUUGACUUAAAGAAAAUCCUAUGAUAGGGCAGCUAGGUGGUGCAGUGGGUAAAGCACCAGUUCUGGAUUCAGGAGGACCUGAGUUCAAAUCCAGCCUCAGACACUUGAUACUUACUAACUGUGUCACUUAACCCUCACUACCCCACAAAAAAAAGAAAACCCUAUGAUAAGAUUAUAUGAUUCCAAAAAGUGUUUGGUAAGAACAAGGAUGCCCAGAUGUUUUUACAAGAUAGGGACUUACUAUCCUGGGGAAAGAAGCCAGUAGAUGGGAACUUAUCUGCUAGCUAGCUAGGUUCAAGUUGGAGUUCAGAUGGAGGGCAUUUUGAUCUUAUUAAUCCAGAGUUUCAUAACAUCCUUUUGGAUAAAAAGGUGGUCCAUAUAGUCACCAUAACAUGUGACAGGUAAAUCAUUCCAUGCUUCCCUAAUUCAUCACCCUUUAUGAUUAAAUCAGGUACCGAUUUAGAACUAAUUUCACUAUACAGUCAGAUGUGUAUCUGUGCCUAAUUUCUCCCAAGCGGUUUUCCAGUUUUACCAACAAUUGGCAGAUACUGAUUUCUUGUCCCCAUAUCUUGACUGUUUUGGUUGGUCAAAGACAAGAUCAGAGUGAUCAUUUAGUGCUAUCUAUUGUGUUCCUCAUCUAUUCCACUCAUCCUCCACACUCUUUCUUCACCAGUACCAACGUUUUUGGUGAGAGAUCUGGUAGUGGUAAGUCACCUUCCUUCACUUUUUUUCUCAUUGAUUCCCUUGCUAUUCUUCACCUUUUGUUCUUCCAGAUGAAUGUUUUUAGUUUUUUUUCUGAGCGCUUUAAAGCUUCUUUUUAAAUUUAAUUGGUCUGGCACUGAAUAAUAAUUUAAUAAUAUUUAAUUAAUAAAUCAAUUUGUGUAGAAUUGUCAUUGUAUUAUGCUGGCCUGGCUUCCCCAGGAGCAGUUAAUAUUUUUCUACUUGUUUAUAUUUAACUUUAUUUCUAUGAAAAAUGUUUUGUAGUUGUGUUCAUAUAAUUCCUAAGUUUUGUCUUAGCAGGUAGCCUCCCAAGUAUUUUCUAUUGUCUGU
Dromiciops gliroides (monito del monte) is the source of this 3600-nucleotide long non-coding RNA. RefSeq lists it as uncharacterized. Lineage: Eukaryota; Metazoa; Chordata; Mammalia; Microbiotheria; Microbiotheriidae. The transcript has 3 exons. The record is from RefSeq and is a predicted model, not a curated record.